GCGCUCGUAGGCCAAUGCCGGCAGCGGCGCGGGUACGGGCUGCGGCAGGCGUUCGAACAGUUGGCGGAUGUGUUCCGUGCACGGUGGGCGCA
Molecule: transfer RNA, 92 nt
Filed under: compost metagenome
Description: tRNA-Arg
Source: RNAcentral